GAGUUUGAUCAUGGCUCAGAUUGAACGUUGGCGGCACGCCUAAUAUAUGCAAGUCGAACGAGAAAGCACCUUCGGGUGUGAGUACAGUGGCGGACGGGUGAGUAACGCGUAGGAAUCUACCUAGUAGUGGGGGACAACUCGGGGAAACUCGAGCUAAUACCGCAUAAUAUCUACGGAUCAAAGUGGGGGAUCUUCGGACCUCACGCUAUUAGAGGAGCCUGCGUUGGAUUAGCUAGUUGGUGGGGUAAAGGCCCACCAAGGCGACGAUCUAUAGCUGGUCUGAGAGGACGAUCAGCCACACUGGAACUGAGACACGGUCCAGACUUCUACGGAAGGCAGCAGUAGGGAAUCUUGGUCAAUGGGCGCAAGCCUGAACCAGCGAUGCCGCGUGUGCGAAGAAGGCCCUAGGGUUGUAAAGCACUUUCAGUCGCGAAGAAAAGCUCAGAGUUAAUAACUCUGGGUCUUGACGUUAACGACAGAAGAAGUACCGGCUAACUCCGUGCCAGCAGCCGCGGUAAUACGGAGGGUACGAACGUUAAUCGGAAUUACUGGGCGUAAAGCGCGCGUAGGCGGUUUGUUAAGUGGGAUGUGAAAGCCCCGGGCUUAACCUGG
Molecule: ribosomal RNA, 612 nt
Filed under: uncultured bacterium
Lineage: Bacteria
Description: bacterial SSU rRNA
Rfam family: Bacterial small subunit ribosomal RNA
Source: RNAcentral